This is an RNA transcript of Ciona intestinalis (vase tunicate), 1970 nucleotides long. It is a transcript of the gene named mitochondrial uncoupling protein 4 pseudogene, with no coding region annotated. Lineage: Eukaryota; Metazoa; Chordata; Ascidiacea; Phlebobranchia; Cionidae. The record is from RefSeq and is a predicted model, not a curated record.
UAAGUAAAUGAUGUUUACGUAAUGUAUUAAAUUAUUAUAUAAGUUGUACAAGCAACACAUGUUUAUUUACUGAAUAAUAUAACAUUUUAAAGAAAACUUUUUACGUAAACCUUAACUUGAAAUAAAUAAAAAUUAUUCAUUUAUUUUUGUCUUAAUAAAUCAUCAAGUCGAAUUCCAAAAUAUAUUUGCUGCCGUAAAAAGACAAAUACAGUGCAGCAUUACUUAACACUGCGAUCGUGAAUAACACAAGCACGUCAUUCAUAAACAAUAUGCUGAUGCAAUAGAAAUGGUAUCAGUUUCUUAGUGCCUACAGCUAACUGCAGAACCGCAACAGGAAAUGGAAUGUAUAGGUAGAAAAAGGUUUUUCCGUAUUACAACAAUAUGUUUGUUAGUUUGGUAUGUAUAUGCUUAUAUUCAUUUGCUAUAUAACCUUUAUGUAAAAUUAUUGCACUUUUCACCCCAAGACCCUGUUCGUAGGGAGGCGCCGAGACGGAUGCAGCAGUUAAUUUAAUAUUAAUUUAACAGCAUGUCUGUCACGUAAAACUGCCGCGGAUAGUUGUGUAGCCAAUAACCAUGGUGUCAGAUGAUGCCAUACGAAAUUGCUGCAUAAAACUGGCUAUAUCAUCUGGUUCUGCCGGAAUUGCCGAAAGCAUAACGUUUCCCUUUGAUCUUACCAAGACAAGAUUACAAAUACAAGGUGAAGUUGCAUCUAACAGUCAUGGAACUACUUUGGUAAAACGUCGUAUGUUAAGAACAGUCUAUCACGUAGCCAGCGAUGAAGGGUUUACAAAGCUGUGGAGUGGUCUAUCACCAGCUGUGUAUCGACAAUUUAUUUAUUCUGGCUGUCGUGCACCAUUGUAUGAAUUUUUGAGGGAACAUGUCCUAGGCAAGAAUCCAGAUGGAAAAUUUUCCUUUUUUAAAUCGUUGCUUGCGGGUGCAACUGCUGGAGCAAUUGGACAGUUUAUUGCAAGCCCAUUGGACUUGGUGAAAGUCAAAAUGCAAAUGGUGAAUCAGAAAACAUGUGUUCCACAAAAGACAAUAAAGUUCCGAUCUGUAUUUCAUGUGCUACAGCAUACGUAUAGUUCCGGUGGUAUCAAAGGUUUAUGGGCUGGAUGGGGACCAAAUGUAAAGAGAGCUACCUUAGUAAACAUGGGACAAUUUGCCACUUAUGACAAUGUCAAACAAUAUAUAUUGAAAAACAGUAAACUUAAUGAUGCAAUUGCCUGCUGGUCUUUAGCAAGCCUUUGUACUGGGUUCGUGACCUCAACCAUAAGCACGCCUGCUGAUGUUGUGAAGACAAGAGUCAUGAAUCAAACCAGAGAUUCAAAAGGCAGAGGUUUAUUUUAUAAAUCUUCUUUAGAGUGUUUGGUAAAAACAGCCCGCCAAGAAGGAUUUUUCAGCCUAUAUAAAGGUUUUAUUCCAAGCUGUUUACGCAUUGUACCUUGGAAUAUUAUUUUUUGGAUAACGCAAGAAGAGUUACGUAAUAUGUUUGGCUUAUCUGCAUUUUAGUGUUAAACCUGAAAGUGUUGAAACAUUUCACUUUCAACAAGUGGAUUAAUUCUUGAGUUUUUCUUAUUAUUUUACUGUAUGCCUAUUGCAUUUUUAAUUUACAUACUCUACUGACCAUACAACACGGUAUACAAAUGUUAUUAAAUUUCCAGCUGGUGGAAUCAACUGCUGCUUUAUAAUAAUCCGCAAUCGUAAAUUAACUUGCAAUAAUUUAAAAGGCCACACCUCAGUAAAUUAAUGGUGAUACAUCAAACUAUGUCCAAUAUAUUACUACAGCUUAAACACAUCAUAUAUGUGCACUGUAUUACAUGUGGUUUAAAAAAUAAAUCUUUUUGGCUGCAAAUAAUUUGUUCAUGUAAAAACUAUUUCAUUUUAAUUGCCAGUUAAUGCAAGUGUGAUUUCACGCUUUUAAUUUUAUUCAUUGCUUGGCUUUUCCUCUGCCAAUAAAUUGAUUUUCGUUA